This is a non-coding RNA of Cicer arietinum (chickpea), 5108 nucleotides long. The record is from RefSeq and is a predicted model, not a curated record. Lineage: Eukaryota; Viridiplantae; Streptophyta; Magnoliopsida; Fabales; Fabaceae.
AUUAAAAGAAAAAAAUACAUCAAUUUUGAAAUCCGCACUUUCUUGGGACUCUAUCCGUAGUGUCCAUUUCUGUUAUAAUGUGUUUGAUCUUUGGGCGACCUUUCUUGACUCUCCGCAUUAGUGGAUUGUGACACACCUUAACAUAUUCAUAUUGUGGCCAAUAUCCUUCGUUUGAUAUCGGUUGGAACGCUUCAAUGUAGACUUUAAGUACUGUUUCCACCUUGUACACAUCAGAUAUAACGCUGCUAUCACAUGUGAACAAGGCAUAUGUUUAGCUUGAUAUUUUUCACAAUCGCACCAUUUGUUAGGAAGAUUUACACUGAAAUUACCAAUUGGUCGCCCUUUUUUUGGAACUACUGUCUCGUGGACCAUGAAAGUAUGGUUGUUUCGAUCAAAACUAUCGACUCUAUGACUAUUUGAUUUACGUAUUUUCGAUUUCAUAAAAGUCAUACAUGUUUCUGUGUAUACCUGACCAGAAGCUAAAAUUGAUGCGUGUUGUUUUGCCAUGGUUGGAAAUAGUGUACUUAUUUUAUAAUAUGUUGAUUGGACCAAAGCAGUGAUGGAAAGGUUGUGUGGUUCUUUUAAUACUGUGUUCAUCGACUCCACAAGGUUGGUGGUCAUCUGACCCCAACGGCUACCUCUAUCAAAUGCUUGAAUCCAAUCUUGUCGCGGUAUAUUGUCUAACCAUUUCAAAGCUUCUGGGUUUACGAUGGCAAUUUCUCUGCGGUAGUAUCGAUAUGUAGACUCAUUGAUUGAGUAAUUUGUAUUGAAACAGUAGACAAUGCAUUAUUACAUUAAUUAUAAAACUUCAUAAUUUAAUUUUUCAUUAAUGAUAAGAAGUAAAAAUUAAAUUAUUACCCAUAGAAAUAACAUUGUUCUUCAAAGUAUUAUCCUUAAAUUCCCUUGCAAAAUUUUGUGAAAUAUGUCGGACACAAAACACAUGCUUUGACGGAGGAUGUUGCCACCCAUUAUUCAGAUUAUUGUAAGCACUUUUGAUAGAUUCGUGUCUAUCUGAAAUCAAACAAAUGUUGGCUUGUGGAGUGACGUGUGAUCUCAAAUUUCUCAAAAAAAAAAACUCCAAGCUUCUUUUGUCUCACAUUCCACAAGAGCAUAAGCAAUGAGAAUGAUAUUGUCGUUCUCAUCCUGUGCAACUGCUACCAAUAGAGUUCCCUUAUACUUGCUGUAUAACCAAGUUCCAUCAACUUGUACAAUUGGUUUGCAAAAUUAAAACGCAUAUAUGCAUGGAACGUAAGUCCAAAAUAGUCUAUGAAAGAUUGUCAUCCCAUUUAUCAAACCAUGUUCAUUAUAAGUUGGGAUUGUUUCCAUUCUAAUAAUGGUUCCUGGAGCAAACGUUUGCAUAACUAAUAACCAUCGUGGAAGUUGGUUGUAAGACUCUUUCCAAUUGCCAUAAAUUUGUUCGAUUGCCUUAUUUUUUCUCAACCAAGCCUUUCUAUAACUAAUUGUGUAGUUAUGUAAAGUCUGAAUCUGAGCAAUAAUGACAUUCACUUUGAUUGAAGGGUUCAUCCUCAUAAUUUGCAUUAUACUUGCACAUAUCAUGUUAGAAUCGAGUUUUGUAUGAACUUGUGAUAGUGCAGAAUUUGUGCAAGUAUGAGGUGUAUUCAAUUUUUCAAUCACCAACAAUUCACUUUUUUUGCGUUUUGAAGCUCUACAUCUAAACAAACAAUUUGGAUGUGAACAAAUAAUAACGUACCUUUCUAAAUUUGAUUUUUGCACCACAAAAUUCAAUGAUUGUUUUAGAUGAUAACGCUUGAUUGCAUGUACACAUUCAUCCUUGUUCUGAAACUUCAUUCCAACUUCAAGAGUUUCACCUAAAUUUGGGACUUCGUCAAUGAACAUGUGAUCAAAUUCAGUUGGUUGGUUUGCGGUGGAUAGAUUGAUGUUCUUCAUGUGGAAUGGUGGAUCGAAUACAUGUGGGAUAGGUUGAUAGGUUGAUCUUCUGCUUCCAUAUCUUCAUCAACAUCAUCAUCGUCAGAAUCACCAGAUGAUUCAUCGAAGUAUGUUUCAUCAUUUUCACUAUAAUCACCUAAUUCUUCCUCAUUGAUAUUAUAAUGGACACUAAGUGGAAGAUCACAUUGUGGACUUGUUGGGAGAGAUUCGUGAUGAAGUUUUUGGGAGACAUUGUGGACAUGUUGAGUUUGUUCAUUUUGGCUAGAGUAUGGUUCUUAGUGUUGUGAUGGAGAAUAUACGUCGGGUUGAUAAGGGCUAGAGUAUGGUUCAUAGUGUUGUGAUGGGAUAUAGUUGGGAUUAGGCAUGUUUGAGGUUGAUGGUUGAUUUGUUGAAGUAGGACAACUUUAAAAUGUAAUGUAUAACUCAAUCGUGCCAAGUUGUGACCAUUGUGCAUAAACAUUAAACAUGAGUUGAACAUGUUCGUUAUUACAAACCUUCAUUAAUUCAAAUUUGAUUGUAUUUUCACCAAAGAAGAUAAGGUGUCGAUAAACUAUAUCAGUUAUCGUCACGUUGUCGUCGAACUGUAACUUUUUCUUAAUGACAUUCUUUAGACGAGCAAGGUUGCUGUUAAAAUGUACUUUGAACGCCUUUUUGUAAUCACUUACAAAUGUUUUCCCUUCAACUCCAUCGACAAUUGAACCAUUGUAAUAAACAAUACAAAUGACUUGUUGAGAAGCCAUGAUUAUGUAAUUGAUAGAAUGUAUGAUGAGAUAGAAGGUGUGGUGAUAUAGUGUGAUCUAGUUUUCUAUUUAUAGAAGUUAGUAGGAUUCCUAUUUUUUUACAUAACCUUCCACAACCGUUGAUAAAUGAAUUUGGAUGGUCAAGAUUAAAGAUUGAAUAGAUCAAUUUGAUUCAUUAUCAAUUGGUCUCUACCUGGCCCUGCGACCUUUAAGAGAUCGUUUCAUGGCCCUGCGACCUCCCAAAGAAGUCGUUUCCUGGCCUUGCGAUCUCCUUAAGGGUUCGCAAUAUGGGGAUGCGACCUCCCACUACGUUGGCUGAAUGUGAGGAUCGCUACCUGGCCCUGCGAUUUCCUAUAUAAACACUCCAUACCAACAUCAUCAAACACAUUUCCUCCAUCUUAAUCUAAAAAUCACUAUCUCCAACUUCUCAAACACACUUUUUCCGAUUUCUCAAACACAUUUUCUUUAACUUUAUUCAUGGAAUUAUCCAAAAAUCAUAGAGCUGAAAGUCGAUAUAUUCAAGCAUUUAUUCCCUUGAAGAAUAAAUUGAAAUGUCAUGGUCAUGUCAACAAAAAACCGAACGACGCCAUAUUACCGUAUUUGCAACAAGUUGUAUUUGGUGAAAUGAUCAUAAUUGGAAACAAAAGAUCCAAUAAUCGUGGCGAUUUAAAUAAAGCAUCUCAUUAUAGUUGGGGUUUGACAGUUUUAACAACACUCUAUAGAGAAUUAUGCCUUGCUAUAAACCCGAUGUAAGGUCGAUGGGAGGAUGUGCAUUGUUGUUGCAAAAUUGGGCAUGAUAUCGUUUGACUUGUGUUGUGUUGUUCCGGAUGCACCCAGUGCAUGGAUAUUUCCACUUGCACAAAGAUUUAAUUCUGGCGGUCUAAAUUUCAGUAGAGUUCCUCACAAUGAUAUAGAAGGAUAUCGGAAUACUAUCGACCAUAAUUCAGAAACAUGAAGCAACCGUUUUAAGAUGUGAAGUUAUCGUUGAGAUAGAGAUUCUUGGUUGCUUACCUCCUCUUUCUCUCAAGUGUGAUUUCUUUGAUUAAUUAGAUGUCCUUCGUCAAUUUCUUAGAGAAGCUGAGAAGGUAAACAUUGAAGUUUCUUACGUAAACUGAGAAGGUAAAGAUUGAAAUUCCUUUUUGCCACUUUUGUUAUAGCUUGACUUGAGUGGCUUGCUUAAUUAUAACGUUGAUAAGAGGUACAUGUAUUUUGAAAGAGUUUGAAAUUUUUUUAAGAAUAGAAUUGAAGUUGAGAAGUUAUAUUAAAUGGUGACAUUCUGUGUUGAACUUGAGAAAAUAGUGCUAAUUAUAAAUAUAUGAUGAACAUGUUAAUUUUCAUUUUAAUAUUUCUUUAUAUUUGUUUGUAAGUGCAUUGGUUUUUAAAAUUUGAACAAAGCUGUUUUAGACAUAUUUCUGAUGCCGAUGUAGAAAAGUUAAGAGUGAAAGAGGUUAGUGGCGCUAAAAUGUGUUUUUUAAGUUGUGUUACUGUAUAUAUUCUUUAUACUCAUCUGAUGUUGCAUAUAUAUAUAUAUAUAUAUAUUUAAACAAUAAUUGUAGGUGUUUUAGUGUUUACUCUAAAUAUAUAUUCAAGGCUUGUGAUGAUCUUUUCAAUUUGGGAAUGACCUGUUAUAUGAACUCGACAUUGCAAUGUCUGCCUCUAUUAUGUGCCAAAAUUGAAGAUGGCUUUAACGAAGUAAAUAUUUUCUUAGGAGUCAAAUUUGCUGUCUUGCCGAUAUAUUACUUAAUAUUGUUUGAACUUUGUUGGGAUCAGGUACUUAGAUGCAGGACGGAACAAUGAUGUUGAUAAGGCUUGUCAUAACUUGACCAUUGGAACCUGUCACUUAUUUACUAAGUUUGAUGAAAGUGUCAAGCCUGUGACGCCUACACAAUUUUAGUUGGUUGCUGAAAAAUAUUGGACGCAACUUCUAUUCACAUCUUCACAAUCUCUAAGAUACUCUAGAUCUAGUGAAAACACUAUUACUGAUGCUGUAAAGGCUAGUAAGAGCUCUUUUUUGACAUAAAACUUAGUAGUAGGUAUAUUUUGAGAUUUCUGGAUGAUCUCAAACUUCAAACCUCAGCAAUUGUGGACGAUCUCAAACUUCAAACUUCUUCUGAUGAUCUCGUAGAGAUGUUUGUUCAUGAUCCACUUCAAUCUACACCGCAGACUCAACCUGCAGAUUUUUAUUCAUAAUCUACCUCAAUCUUCACGACUGAUUCAAUCUCUGGCAAUUGUCGAUGAUCUCAAACUUAAAACUUCUUCUGAUAAUUUCGUAGAGAUGUUUGUUCAUGAUCCACUUCAAUAUCUACCUCAAAAUUCACCAUAGAUUCAAACGUUAGGUUUUAAUUGUAUAUGAUCUCAUAAAUAUUGAGUUGAGGUUAAUAGAUUUCUUCUAAUUUUAACUGGAACAGUGAGCUCAACCUUAACUAUUUUAAUAGUCGGUCUAAGAAAUUUCAUAUUGAA